This is a long non-coding RNA of Suricata suricatta (meerkat), 551 nucleotides long. RefSeq lists it as uncharacterized. NCBI's taxonomy places the organism in Eukaryota, Metazoa, Chordata, Mammalia, Carnivora, Herpestidae. The record is from RefSeq and is a predicted model, not a curated record. The transcript has 3 exons.
AACCACUGUCUUUCCUCUGGUUUUAGUUUUGACUUUUCCAAAAUAUCAUAUAUUUGGAGUCAUAUGCAUAUUUAAUCUUUGGAGGCCAGAGGCAAAGUGGUCAGGAGUAAAGACUCAUGAAGACCACUCAUUUUCCUGGAAAGGGUUCUACGUCCGCACCUUCAUGAGUAUAGCGAUUGCUUCUGACAACUUGCGAACUUAGUUGCAAUACCUAGAACAUGAAAGGAUUGCAAAGAAAGGACCAACAUUUCAGUGUCCAUGGGGGGCAUCAGUUCCUGCCUGAAAGGAGAGAAGAUGAAGGGAAAUGGCUGUUGUCAAGGCACAUAAUGUCUGCCAAAAGAGAAGUGUAUUUGCUAUGGGUUGAUUAAAACUUUGUAGGAAACUAGGGGAUGAUCAUUAACUCUUUGCUAUCUUGGAAAUUAGUAUAAAAGACUUUCUACCCAUUGGUUGUCAUCUCAGAAAUUCUACCAUUUCUCAGAGUCUGCGGCAAAUAAAACAUCAUUAGACAAGAAGAAUGAGCAAUAAGGCAGAGAAGGAGUCCUGAAGUUAAA